AGUUCAUGAUCCGAUCAGAUGGUUGAUCAACGAUUAAGAAUCAUUCUAGGGUUAAAUGAUCAAUACGAUUGACAUUUAACCCAGUGCAAGUGUUGCAGGAGGAUCGAUUAGCAAUUCGAUUGCUAAUUGGCUUAAUUUGAUUAAGCCAAUGGGAUGAGAUUAAGUCUAAUUAAAUAUAAUUUAAUUAGAUUUAUUUUGGACUUGAUUGGAUCAAGUCCAAUUGGUUUAUUGGAUAAGCCAAGUGCAAGGAAAGACUAGUCCUAGUUCAACUAGGACUUGGGUCAAUCUAAUUUCUAAUUUGAUUAGAAAAUUAAAUCAGAUUUAAAUCUAAUUUAAUCUGAUUAAAUUAGGUUCUUAAUUAGGUUAAGAUCUAUUUUAAUU
This 381-nucleotide long non-coding RNA is filed under the name Elaeis guineensis (African oil palm). Its description in RNAcentral is "long non-coding RNA (EGUI_LNC057329)". Lineage: Eukaryota; Viridiplantae; Streptophyta; Magnoliopsida; Arecales; Arecaceae. The record is from RNAcentral.